Molecule: long non-coding RNA, 524 nt
Filed under: Amborella trichopoda
Lineage: Eukaryota; Viridiplantae; Streptophyta; Magnoliopsida; Amborellales; Amborellaceae
Description: long non-coding RNA (ATRI_LNC000549)
Source: RNAcentral
AGGCCUACUGAGGGCUGGCUGUUCGCUUAUUUGUUGAUUCAAAACAAAAGGCGCUACUGAGCUACUUGACUUAAGUACAGCUAGAGUAGUACAACAGAAUGCCUUUCGCCCUACUUCAGUCACAAGCACCCUAAGCAAGCCCGUACGCAAGCCCUACUAAGUUACUUUCAUAACCCAAGUGUUAGAGUCACCGGGUAGGGCGAUGACUCUUCAAAAAAAAGGGCUGGCGACCAAUUGGACUUUUAGGGCGACCUUCAGUAUAUCAUUUCAAUAGUAGUUGAACAAACAAGUCCACUAAUAGCUUAGAUAGUGGCCCUUCCACUUUGGUGUAGUUGACCCUGCCUAUUGAUUGACUCAAGGUUAGAACUUCAACCUCAAGUUUCAUAGGUACUGGGAACCUGGGAUGCAGGCAUCACUUUGGUACUUUUUCACCACUAGUUCUUCUUUAGUUUGAGUAUAGCAACCUGCUGUUCACCGGCAGGUCAGUAGGCCUUGACGAAGGCGAACACUAGCAAAGUGAUCAG